Long non-coding RNA from Trichomycterus rosablanca, 368 nucleotides. RefSeq lists it as uncharacterized. Lineage: Eukaryota; Metazoa; Chordata; Actinopteri; Siluriformes; Trichomycteridae. The record is from RefSeq and is a predicted model, not a curated record. The transcript is spliced from 3 exons.
CUGCCUGGACUCAGCAGAGCAAUUGUCCAUAUACUUCUAGGAGAUUCACCUGAGACAGCCACAGUGCAGAUAGAAGAUUGUCCUGACCAUGACAUAAGAGAAAUCAUCAAAUUGCUUGAUGGAGAUGCUGAACUCAGUGAUGAUGAACGCCAGGCUGUCCUUGACCUGUGUCUUUCUUGGGAUCUACCUGGCCCAACCAAUACAAACAGAAGGUGGCUCUUUGAACGCCUUUUGUCACAUGCGGUCAUUGGUAGAAGAUUACGUCAGUUGAAACAAAUUCGGAAAGGACUAAAGGAAACCAAGGUGUGGUCACUGUUGAUUGAAAGGAAAGAUGUGCAGAUUUUUCCAAAGGAGAGCGAAUAUUUACU